AAAUGCAAGUCGAGCGGACAGAAGGGAGCUUGCUCCCGGAUGUUAGCGGCGGACGGGUGAGUAACACGUGGGUAACCUGCCUGUAAGACUGGGAUAACUCCGGGAAACCGGAGCUAAUACCGGAUAGUUCCUUGAACCGCAUGGUUCAAGGAUGAAAGACGGUUUCGGCUGUCACUUACAGAUGGACCCGCGGCGCAUUAGCUAGUUGGUGGGGUAAUGGCUCACCAAGGCGACGAUGCGUAGCCGACCUGAGAGGGUGAUCGGCCACACUGGGACUGAGACACGGCCCAGACUCCUACGGGAGGCAGCAGUAGGGAAUCUUCCGCAAUGGACGAAAGUCUGACGGAGCAACGCCGCGUGAGUGAUGAAGGUUUUCGGAUCGUAAAGCUCUGUUGUUAGGGAAGAACAAGUGCGAGAGUAACUGCUCGCACCUUGACGGUACCUAACCAGAAAGCCACGGCUAACUACGUGCCAGCAGCCGCGGUAAUACGUAGGUGGCAAGCGUUGUCCGGAAUUAUUGGGCGUAAAGGGCUCGCAGGCGGUUUCUUAAGUCUGAUGUGAAAGCCCCCGGCUCAACCGGGGAGGGUCAUUGGAAACUGGGAAACUUGANUGCUGAAGAGGAGAGUGGAAUUCCACGUGUACCGCCGAAUUGCUUAUAGA
This 660-nucleotide ribosomal RNA is filed under the name Bacillus sp. HPCKc-8. RNAcentral's name for it is "bacterial SSU rRNA". It matches the Rfam family "Bacterial small subunit ribosomal RNA", at positions 53 to 696 of the family's 1533-position model. The record is from RNAcentral. Lineage: Bacteria; Bacillati; Bacillota; Bacilli; Caryophanales; Bacillaceae.